UGCCGAGUGGCGAAAUUGGUAGACGCACCAGAUUUUGAUUCUGGCGACGAAAGUCUUGGGGGUUCAAGUCCCUCCUCGGUAG
This 82-nucleotide transfer RNA is filed under the name Caudoviricetes sp. Its description in RNAcentral is "tRNA-Gln". It matches the Rfam family "tRNA". From Rfam's summary of the family: Transfer RNA (tRNA) molecules are approximately 80 nucleotides in length. Lineage: Duplodnaviria; Heunggongvirae; Uroviricota; Caudoviricetes. The record is from RNAcentral.